This 484-nucleotide ribosomal RNA is filed under the name uncultured bacterium. RNAcentral's name for it is "partial 16S ribosomal RNA". It matches the Rfam family "Bacterial small subunit ribosomal RNA", at positions 30 to 507 of the family's 1533-position model. The record is from RNAcentral.
AUUGAACGCUGGCGGCAGGCCUAACACAUGCAAGUCGAGCGGAUGAAGGGAGCUUGCUCCUGGAUUCAGCGGCGGACGGGUGAGUAAUGCCUAGGAAUCUGCCCGGUAGUGGGGGAUAACGUCCGGAAUCGGGCGCUAAUACCGCAUACGUCCUGAGGGAGAAAGUGGGGGAUCUUCGGACCUCACGCUAUCAGAUGAGCCUAGGUCGGAUUAGCUAGUUGGUGGGGUAAAGGCCUACCAAGGCGACGAUCCGUAACUGGUCUGAGAGGAUGAUCAGUCACACUGGAACUGAGACACGGUCCAGACUCCUACGGGAGGCAGCAGUGGGGAAUAUUGGACAAUGGGCGAAAGCCUGAUCCAGCCAUGCCGCGUGUGUGAAGAAGGUCUUCGGAUUGUAAAGCACUUUAAGUUGGGAGGAAGGGCAGUAAGUUAAUACCUUGCUGUUUUGACGUUACCAACAGAAUAAGCACCGGCUAACUUCGUG